CCGACUCGUUUUCUCGACCCGUGUUGCAGCGACGAUGACCCAGCCCUCUCUCCACUUUCCGGCUACCUCUCCAUGUCUGACCGGUGUAGUUCGACUCCUCUCGGCGGCGUGAAGUAGAACCCGGUCGUUCCGACUCCGAAAGACCGGCGACGGUCGCAGAGCAAAGCCCAAAAGCUUCCUGGAUUUUCCGGUGUAGUUUCCGAUUCCGGCCACAUCGAGGCAUCUCACCAGUAUGGAUGCAUGGCUUCGUCUUGAUGUCCCCUUCAUGUCUGUGGUCUCAGUUUCUUCAGAGAAUCUUCCUAGAGAGAGAAUCGAAUGAAUAAAGGUUUUGGAUUUUCCAGCGAGUUUACAUGUUUUUUGAUGACCUUCGAUUUCAACUUAGAUAUCAAAGUUGGUCUACUCAUCGAGCUCUACAAGGUGGUAUAAUCAAUUUACAGUUUUGGUUAAGAUUUGAGGAAUUGGUAUUUUGAGGUUUCAUGUUCUUUACGGGUUCACUGUUGGUAGUGUGAUUUUGAUGUUCUUUGCUUCUUUUUGAAUACAAAGAAACCGCAUAGCUGAAUUGUGGUUGUUGAUUAUACUUGAAAUGCAGAAAGAUGGAAAAUUUGAGUAUUAGGAUGGAUGGUUGAUCUGUGUUGCUUGAGGGGUGAAGAACAGUAGCUAGUUUGUGAAUCAGAACUAUGGAGCUGUUGUUCAUUUCGACUGUUGCUCACUUCUGUUCAUGUUUUGGUAGACAAGUGAAGUAGUAGGUUUACUUGAAAUCCAGAAAAUGAAGAAUGUUCUUGACAGCAAGAUUUGGAUAGUGUUGGUAGAAAAUGCACUUUGAUUGAGUUAUGGGAAGUAAGAUGGUUAAUUUGAAAGGAAAUAAUGAAGAUUUGGGUGUCUUUAGUACAUUAAGGGAUUUGGUCAAUUUCAUAAUUUAGAAUAAUUGAUCGUAUUGAUUUGAAGUGAUUCGCCGACUGUCAUUGAUUGAAGAUGAUACGAAGAUUGAAUGAUUACUGGCAAUCCCAGAAGCAGAAGGAUACUGAUUUCAGAAUGCAAGUUGCAGCAUUUCUAACUCUGAGCAGCGUUGCAGUUAAACCGUGAAAGUCAAGGUGGCCUAAUAAAGCUGUACGAUUUUGGUAAUCGAGGUUAAGCGAGAUGAUCAACUAGCAAAAAGGGAAUGUGGAUUGAAUUGUUACUAGGUGUUAGAUCAUAUAUUCGAAACAUCUAGAGUCACCCCCGGUUGGUAAAAUACACGGUAAUAGACGUGCAUGCUCUCUUGUUUUGAUACUGGACUAACGGGUGUGACAUGCACGAGUUUUGAGAAGUUUAAGCGAGACGACGUUUACGAUUGCAAGACUCUAAACAGAAUUACAAGAGUGAGUGAGAUUAGAAAACGAGGUGUAAAUUCGUUUUGAGUUUUGUUAUUUCAAAUGUCUUAUUUUCUAAGAUUUCUGAAAAUGUAUUUGGUGUUAUCUUUAAUUUUAUUUACAUUUUUAUGCUCA
Rosa rugosa (rugosa rose) is the source of this 1484-nucleotide long non-coding RNA. RefSeq lists it as uncharacterized. NCBI's taxonomy places the organism in Eukaryota, Viridiplantae, Streptophyta, Magnoliopsida, Rosales, Rosaceae. The record is from RefSeq and is a predicted model, not a curated record. The transcript has 3 exons.